GAUGAACGCUGGCGGCGUGCUUAACACAUGCAAGUCGAACGGGAAACCUUUUAUUGAUUCUUCGUCAGGUUUAGCUGUUUUCUAGUGGCGGACGGGUGAGUAACGCGUGGUUAACCUUCCUUAUUCAGGUGGAUAACCACCAGAAAUUGUUGCUAAUACCGCAUAAGCGCACAGGACCGCAUGUUCCGGUUUGAACGACUCCGUGGGUAUAAGUUGGAUCCGCGUUGGAUUAGCUAGUUGGCAGGGUAACGGCCUACCCAGUCGACGAUCCAUAGCAGGCCAGAGAGGGUGAGCGGCAACAUUGGGAGUGAGACACGAGCGAGAAACAUACGGGAGGCAGGAGAGGGGGAUAUAGCAAAAUGGGGGAAACGAAGAAGGAGCGACGGCGGGUGAAGGAAGAAGUAUCGCAGUAAGUAAAGCUCUAUAAGCAGGGAAGAUAGUGACGGUACCUGAAUAAGAAGCCCCGGCUAACUACGUG
This 478-nucleotide ribosomal RNA is filed under the name uncultured bacterium. RNAcentral's name for it is "partial 16S ribosomal RNA". It matches the Rfam family "Bacterial small subunit ribosomal RNA", at positions 28 to 507 of the family's 1533-position model. The record is from RNAcentral.